UUUCUUUUUCUCCUCACCAAUCAGUUUGCACGCCAAAAAACCACAUCUUUGUCAUUAUAUUUAUCUUUCAAAAUUAGUGCAGGGGUAUUCUAAUUUUUCUAACUCUCUAAAGUACCACCCACUUCCUGAUUAGAGAGAUGUGUUCAUCCUAUCCAUACUGAAUUAAAUUUGCGUGUAAUUGGUCCAAAGCUCAACUGCCUUUACUUCCAACAAGAAACUUGAACCUCUCGUUCCUG
Molecule: unclassified non-coding RNA, 236 nt
Filed under: Hevea brasiliensis (rubber tree)
Lineage: Eukaryota; Viridiplantae; Streptophyta; Magnoliopsida; Malpighiales; Euphorbiaceae
Source: RNAcentral